RNAcentral lists this ribosomal RNA (480 nucleotides) under uncultured bacterium. Its description in RNAcentral is "partial 16S ribosomal RNA". It matches the Rfam family "Bacterial small subunit ribosomal RNA", at positions 28 to 523 of the family's 1533-position model. The record is from RNAcentral.
GACGAACGCUGGCGGCGUGCUUAACACAUGCAAGUCGAACGGAAAGGCCCGCUUGCGGGUACUCGAGUGGCGAACGGGUGAGUAACACGUGGGUGAUCUGCCCUGCACUUCGGGAUAAGCCUGGGAAACUGGGUCUAAUACCGGAUAGGACCGCAUCGUAGGUGGUGUGGUGGAAAGAUUUAUCGGUGCAGGAUGAGCUCGCGGCCUAUCAGCUGGUUGGUGGGGUAAUGGCCUACCAAGGCGUCGACGGGUAGCCGGCCUGAGAGGGUGGACGGCCACAUUGGGACUGAGAUACGGCCCAGACUCCUACGGGAGGCAGCAGUGGGGAAUCUUGCACAAUGGGCGGAAGCCUGAUGCAGCGACGCCGCGUGGGGGAUGACGGCCUUCGGGUUGUAAACUCCUUUCGCCAGGGACGAAGCCGUGAGGUGACGGUACCUGGAUAAGAAGCACCGGCUAACUACGUGCCAGCAGCCGCGGUAA